AUCAUGACAAGUCACGGAGCUCAUGAGCCAACCCAAACCUGGCCGCUCUCGGAGAUGGAUGAAAUACCAUCCAGAGCUGGCUCUCUUUCCUCCCGGAAUGGAUUCAGGAAAUGCAUGGUUGUACCAUUGACAAAGCUCCCUCCCAAGGUCGUGAGGCUGUAAUGAGAACACGUCCACAUUUCCUCCAGGGCAUUCUGGCUGCCAGGAACCCAGAGGAAGGGGAAGGAGUGUCUGGAGAAAGGGUUACCUGCAAGGGAAAGAAGUCCCUGCCUUCUGGAAUUGUCAACUGGGAUUUAGAGGGAGACAGAAUGAAAACACUCAGUGGACAUCACCCUUUCCUAACCAUCUUUAGGGCAGACACACAGGAGAAUUAAAUGUCUCUGCUCUGAAAGAGUAGCCCUGAAGGAUUAAAUAAAUAAUGACGGACUCUAUAGUAUCUGUUCCAGAUGCUGUGCUGAUCUCCACACGCACUAUUGCAACCUUCAUGGCAUCCUAGUACUCUUUUCAUCUCUAUUUUGCAUGUCAGGUAAACUGAGGCUUUGAGACUAUGAAGCUAGAAGACCCAAGAACAGUGAGUGUUGAAACUAAAACUGAAUGUUGCCUCCCCAUGGAAGGUCAUCCGUUGCUCAACAAGAUGUUCAGUAAACCAACGCAUUCAGUAAAUAUUAAUGACAACAUGUUGAUGAGGCAGAAUAAGGUCAGCACUGAAUCAAUAGAGACCUGGCACUAGUGAGCUGUGUAACUUUGGACACCGUCUGCUUCCAGACCUGUUCAUUCUUCUCAUCCAUCCAGACUUUGUCAACACUGUCUCCUCUGGGAACACUUCCCAGGCAGACGUUGGUCCUUUCUACAAGGAUGAUUGGUGCAGGAAGCUAAAGUUCAAGAUUUCUCCCCCUUGCAUUCUCAGUACCUACCAGAAUGCCUGACCAAGCAUGCCUAGGAAGUCGGAAGGCCUCCCAGGAAAGAAGUCCAGUCACCACGCGAGUGUGAAGGUCACAGAGAAGGAAAUGCGCGCGGCAAAGAGGGGAGACAGAGAUCGGUCUCGGGAGGGCGUCUGAUUUAUCUGCACUCACUUCCUCAGCAGUUUGUCUUUCAUAUUUAAAUAUGUGAGCAGGAAGCCAAGCUCCAAGAGUAACAACACAGCACGGCAAGGCACGCGUGAGCACAGAUACUGUUGUCACCAAAUGCAACUUGCAGCAAACUUUAAUCUGAAGCAAAAUUUCAUCACGCUCAGUGUGUUGAAGGUUAU
Fukomys damarensis (Damara mole-rat) is the source of this 1249-nucleotide long non-coding RNA. RefSeq lists it as uncharacterized. The record is from RefSeq and is a predicted model, not a curated record. The transcript is spliced from 3 exons. Lineage: Eukaryota; Metazoa; Chordata; Mammalia; Rodentia; Bathyergidae.